RNAcentral lists this ribosomal RNA (809 nucleotides) under uncultured Pelagibacteraceae bacterium. Its description in RNAcentral is "bacterial SSU rRNA". It matches the Rfam family "Bacterial small subunit ribosomal RNA", at positions 34 to 891 of the family's 1533-position model. The record is from RNAcentral. Lineage: Bacteria; Pseudomonadati; Pseudomonadota; Alphaproteobacteria; Candidatus Pelagibacterales; Candidatus Pelagibacteraceae.
CGCUGGCGGCACGCCUAAUACAUGCAAGUCGAACGAAGUAGCAAUACUUAGUGGCAGACGGGUGAGUAACAUGUGGGUAUCUUCCCUUUGGUGAGGAAUAACACGAGGAAACUUGUGCUAAUACUUCAUAAGUCUUUACGGAGAAAGCUUUAUGCGCCAAUGGAUGAGCCCGCACUUGAUUAGUUUGUUGGUAGGGUAAUGGCCUACCAAGACUGUGAUCAAUAGCUGAUUUGAGAGGAUGAUCAGCCACAUUGGGACUGAGACACGGCCCAAACUCCUACGGGAGGCAGCAGUAGGGAAUCUUGCACAAUGGAGGAAACUCUGAUGCAGCGAUGCCGCGUGAGUGAAGAAGGCCCUUGGGUUGUAAAGCUCUUUCGUCGGGGAAGAAAAUGACUGUACCCGAAUAAGAAGGUCCGGCUAACUUCGUGCCAGCAGCCGCGGUAAUACGAAGGGACCUAGCGUAGUUCGGAAUUACUGGGCUUAAAGAGUUCGUAGGUGGUUAAAAAAGUUGGUGGUGAAAGCCCAGAGCUUAACUCUGGAACUGCCAUCAAAACUUUUUAGCUAGAGUUUGAUAGAGGAAAGCAGAAUUUCUAGUGUAGAGGUGAAAUUCGUAGAUAUUAGAAAGAAUACCGAUUGCGAAGGCAGCUUUCUGGAUCAUUACUGACACUGAGGAACGAAAGCAUGGGUAGCGAAGAGGAUUAGAUACCCUCGUAGUCCAUGCCGUAAACGAUGUGUGUUAGAUGUUGGAAAUUUAUUUUCAGUAUCACAGCGAAAGCAAUAAACACACCGCCUGGGGAGUACGACCGCAA